RNAcentral lists this ribosomal RNA (253 nucleotides) under uncultured bacterium. RNAcentral's name for it is "partial 16S ribosomal RNA". It matches the Rfam family "Bacterial small subunit ribosomal RNA", at positions 524 to 776 of the family's 1533-position model. The record is from RNAcentral.
UACGUAGGGUGCAAGCGUUGUCCGGAAUUAUUGGGCGUAAAGAGCUUGUAGGCGGUUUGUCGCGUCUGCUGUGAAAUUUCGGGGCUCAACCCCGAACUUGCAGUGGGUACGGGCAGACUAGAGUGUGGUAGGGGAGACUGGAAUUCCUGGUGUAGCGGUGAAAUGCGCAGAUAUCAGGAGGAACACCGAUGGCGAAGGCAGGUCUCUGGGCCAUAACUGACGCUGAGAAGCGAAAGCAUGGGGAGAGAACAGG